AAGUAUAUCGAAAGAAGUGUUAGGUUACAUUGACACACCCUGAAAAAUGUUGUACUAUAUUAUUAUGAAUUUUGUCAUAUAGUUAAAACUAAUAUUUGCUUAUUCUAGAAAAAUUACAUACUGCAGUCAAAAAUAUUUUAGGUGGAUCAAAACCGAUGGCGGAUGUUUCUCUUAUGUUGGCUGUACCAGACUUAGCAGUGACAAGUGAAAACAUUCGUAACUUAACGA
Long non-coding RNA from Adelges cooleyi (spruce gall adelgid), 228 nucleotides. RefSeq lists it as uncharacterized. The record is from RefSeq and is a predicted model, not a curated record. The transcript has 3 exons. Lineage: Eukaryota; Metazoa; Arthropoda; Insecta; Hemiptera; Adelgidae.